Non-coding RNA from Pelobates cultripes (western spadefoot toad), 259 nucleotides. The record is from the annotation of a GenBank genome assembly. NCBI's taxonomy places the organism in Eukaryota, Metazoa, Chordata, Amphibia, Anura, Pelobatidae.
GGUUAAUGGGGCAAGUAGAGGAAACAACAAACCGGGAGAGAAUGUGUGAACCUACAUGCAGAAGUUUAGUGAGGGGGUUACUGCGGGGUGUACCAUCCACCCCAACACAGGAGACAUCGGUAUCAGAUAAGAAGGAAGGAUCUGGCAGGUCUUGUUCCCUGAGAACACUACGGGCUGCACCUGUGUCGACUAGAAAGGUAGUUGGAUGGCCCUCCACGGGGAGAACUACAGUAGCCAAGGGCCCUCCCCCAUCCCCCGC